UGGGGAAUAUUGGACAAUGGGCGAAAGCCUGAUCCAGCCAUGCCGCGUGUGUGAAGAAGGUCUUCGGAUUGUAAUGCACUUUAAGUUGGGAGGAAGGGCAGUAAGCGAAUACCUUGCUGUUUUGACGUUACCGACAGAAUAAGCACCGGCUAACUCUGUGCCAGCAGCCGCGGUAAUACAGAGGGUGCAAGCGUUAAUCGGAAUUACUGGGCGUAAAGCGCGCGUAGGUGGUUCGUUAAGUUGAAUGUGAAAGCCCCGGGCUCAACCUGGGAACUGCAUCCAAAACUGGCGAGCUAGAGUAGGGCAGAGGGUGGUGGAAUUUCCUGUGUAGCGGUGAAAUGCGUAGAUAUAGGAAGGAACACCAGUGGCGAAGGCGACCACCUGGGCUCAUACUGACACUGAGGUGCGAAAGCGUGGGGAGCAAACAGG
This 429-nucleotide ribosomal RNA is filed under the name Pseudomonadota bacterium. Its description in RNAcentral is "Proteobacteria bacterium partial 16S ribosomal RNA". It matches the Rfam family "Bacterial small subunit ribosomal RNA", at positions 355 to 776 of the family's 1533-position model. The record is from RNAcentral. Lineage: Bacteria; Pseudomonadati; Pseudomonadota.